Molecule: ribosomal RNA, 458 nt
Filed under: uncultured bacterium
Lineage: Bacteria
Description: SSU rRNA
Rfam family: Bacterial small subunit ribosomal RNA
Source: RNAcentral
AGAAUCAACGCUGGCGGCGUGCCUAACACAUGCAAGUCGAACGAGAAAGUGGAGCAAUCCAUGAGUACAGUGGCGCACGGGUGAGUAACACGUGACUAACCUACCCUUGAGUGGGGAAUAACCUGGAGAAAUCUAGGCUAAUACCGCAUAACACCUACGGGUCAAAGGAGCAAUUCGCUUAAGGAGGGGGUCGCGGCAGAUUAGCUAGUUGGCGGGGUAAUGGCCCACCAAGGCAGUGAUCUGUAUCCGGCCUGAGAGGGCGCACGGACACACUGGAACUGAAACACGGUCCAGACUCCUACGGGAGGCAGCAGUGGGAAUUUUGCGCAAUGGGGAAACCCUGACGCAGCAACGCCGCGUGGAGGAUGAAGUCCCUUGGGACGUAAACUCCUUUCGACCGGGAAGAUAAGUGACGGUACCGGAAGAAGAGCCCCGGCUAACUUCGUGCCAGCAGCCGC